RNAcentral lists this ribosomal RNA (427 nucleotides) under Janibacter sp. EBKC95. RNAcentral's name for it is "bacterial SSU rRNA". It matches the Rfam family "Bacterial small subunit ribosomal RNA", at positions 443 to 879 of the family's 1533-position model. Lineage: Bacteria; Bacillati; Actinomycetota; Actinomycetes; Micrococcales; Intrasporangiaceae. The record is from RNAcentral.
GGAAGAAGCGAAAGUGACGGUACCUGCAGAAGAAGAAAACGGCUAACUACGUGCCAGCAGCCGCGGUAAUACGUAGGGUGCGAGCGUUGUCCGGAAUUAUUGGGCGUAAAGAGCUUGUAGGCGGUUUGUCGCGUCUGCUGUGAAAAUCCGGGGCUCAACCCCGGACUUGCAGUGGGUACGGGCAGACUAGAGUGUGGUAGGGGAGACUGGAAUUCCUGGUGUAGCGGUGAAAUGCGCAGAUAUCAGGAGGAACACCGAUGGCGAAGGCAGGUCUCUGGGCCACUACUGACGCUGAGAAGCGAAAGCAUGGGGAGCGAACAGGUUUAUUUACCCUGGUAGUCCAUGCCGUAAACGUUGGGCGCUAGGUGUGGGACUCAUUCCACGAGUUCCGUGCCGCAGCUAACGCAUUAAGCGCCCCGCCUGGGGA